GUAGGUGGCAAGCGUUGUCCGGAUUUAUUGGGUUUAAAGGGUGCGUAGGCGGCUUUGUAAGUCAGUGGUGAAAUACUCCAGCUCAACUGGAGAGGUGCCAUUGAUACUGCAGAGCUAGAGUACUGAUGAGGUAGGCGGAAUGGACGGUGUAGCGGUGAAAUGCUUAGAUAUCGUCCAGAACACCGAUAGCGAAGGCAGCUUACUAAAGAGUAACUGACGCUGAGGCACGAAAGUGUGGGGAUCAAACAGGAUUAGAUACCCUGGUAGUCCACACUGUAAACGUUGAUCACUAGAUGUUGGCGAUACACUGCCAGCGUUCCAGCAAAAGCGAUAAGUGAUCCACCUGGGGAGUACGCCCGCAAGGGUG
RNAcentral lists this ribosomal RNA (367 nucleotides) under uncultured organism. Its description in RNAcentral is "bacterial SSU rRNA". It matches the Rfam family "Bacterial small subunit ribosomal RNA", at positions 527 to 896 of the family's 1533-position model. The record is from RNAcentral.